This 318-nucleotide ribosomal RNA is filed under the name uncultured bacterium. RNAcentral describes it as "bacterial SSU rRNA". It matches the Rfam family "Bacterial small subunit ribosomal RNA", at positions 355 to 669 of the family's 1533-position model. The record is from RNAcentral.
UGAGGAAUAUUGGGUCAAUGGACGCAAGUCUGAACCAGCCAUGCCGCGUGAAGGAAUAAGGCCCUAUGGGUCGUAAACUUCUUUUGUAUGUGAGCAAUAAGGUCCACGUGUGGACCGAUGAGAGUAGCAUACGAAUAAGCAUCGGCUAACUCCGUGCCAGCAGCCGCGGUAAUACGGAGGAUGCAAGCGUUAUCCGGAUUCAUUGGGUUUAAAGGGUGCGUAGGCGGCUUGGUAAGUCAGCGGUGAAAUUCCAGUGCUCAACAUUGGCCGUGCCGUUGAUACUGCUGGGCUUGAAUGCGGAUGCCGUGGGAGGAAUGU